CGGCUCAGCUGCAGUACCUGGGCGUCCUGGAGYUGGUGAAGAUCUUCAGGUUCGGGUACCCCGUGCGCCUUUCCUUCGCGGAUUUCCUGUCGAGGUACAAGCCCUUGGCGGAUACACUCCUGCGCCAGAAGGAGGAGCAGCCCCCGGAGGAGAGGUGCCGGCUUCUUCUGCAGCAGUGUCAACUACAGGGCUGGCAGGUGGGAGUCCGCAAGGUGUUCCUGAAACACGGGCAUGCCGACCAGCUGCACAGUCUCUGCCUGCAGCUGCAGAGGAGCAUCAUCACCUGCCAGAAAGUCAUACGAGGGUUUCUAGCAC
RNAcentral lists this long non-coding RNA (315 nucleotides) under Urocitellus parryii (Arctic ground squirrel). Its description in RNAcentral is "lncRNA (ENSUPAG00010011342.1)". Lineage: Eukaryota; Metazoa; Chordata; Mammalia; Rodentia; Sciuridae. The record is from RNAcentral.